RNAcentral lists this ribosomal RNA (223 nucleotides) under uncultured Lactobacillus sp. RNAcentral's name for it is "partial 16S ribosomal RNA". It matches the Rfam family "Bacterial small subunit ribosomal RNA", at positions 143 to 354 of the family's 1533-position model. Lineage: Bacteria; Bacillati; Bacillota; Bacilli; Lactobacillales; Lactobacillaceae. The record is from RNAcentral.
AUAACACCUGGAAACAGAUGCUAAUACCGGAUAACAACAGAUGAUGCCUAUCAACUGUUUAAAAGAUGGUUCUGCUAUCACUCUUGGAUGGACCUGCGGUGCAUUAGCUAGUUGGUAGGGUAACGGCCUACCAAGGCGAUGAUGCAUAGCCGAGUUGAGAGACUGAUCGGCCACAUUGGGACUGAGACACCGGACCCAAACUCCGUACGGGGAGGCAGCAGAA